This 424-nucleotide ribosomal RNA is filed under the name Verrucomicrobiota bacterium. RNAcentral's name for it is "Verrucomicrobia bacterium partial 16S ribosomal RNA". It matches the Rfam family "Bacterial small subunit ribosomal RNA", at positions 355 to 776 of the family's 1533-position model. Lineage: Bacteria; Pseudomonadati; Verrucomicrobiota. The record is from RNAcentral.
UGAGGAAUAUUGGUCAAUGGACGAGAGUCUGAACCAGCCAAGUAGCGUGCAGGAUGACGGCCCUAUGGGUUGUAAACUGCUUUUGUUUGGGAAUAAUCGACAUUACGUGUAAUGUUUUGCAUGUACCAUUCGAAUAAGGACCGGCUAAUUCCGUGCCAGCAGCCGCGGUAAUACGGAAGGUCCAGGCGUUAUCCGGAUUUAUUGGGUUUAAAGGGAGUGUAGGCGGUUGGUUAAGCGUGUUGUGAAAUGUAGAUGCUCAACAUCUGACUUGCAGCGCGAACUGGCUGACUUGAUGACACACAACGUAGGCGGAAUUCAUGGUGUAGCGGUGAAAUGCUUCGAUAUCAUGAAGAACUCCGAUUGCGAAGGCAGCUUACGGGAGUGUUACUGACGCUUAAGCUCGAAGGUGGGGGUAUCGAACAGG